Molecule: ribosomal RNA, 2802 nt
Filed under: Euryhelmis costaricensis
Lineage: Eukaryota; Metazoa; Platyhelminthes; Trematoda; Opisthorchiida; Heterophyidae
Description: eukaryotic LSU rRNA
Rfam family: Eukaryotic large subunit ribosomal RNA
Source: RNAcentral
UCCUGACCUCGGAUCAGACGUGAAUACCCGCUGAACUUAAGCAUAUCACUAAGCGGAGGAAAAGAAACUAACAAGGAUUCCCUCAGUAACGGCGAGUGAACAGGGAAAAGCCCAGCACCGAAGCCUGUGGCCAUUUGGUUACUAGGCAAUGUGGUGUUCAGGUUGUUCCGCGAAGGUACUGCUCCAUUCCAAGUCCAGCAAUGAGUACGGUAAUGCUGACAUGGCCCAAAGAGGGUGAAAGGCCCGUUGGGGUGGAGGUGCAGAAAUGACAGUGCCUUCCUGGAUAGACCUUGGAGUCGGGUUGUUUGUGAAUGCAGCCCAAAGUGGGUGGUAAACUCCAUCCAAGGCUAAAUACUUGCACGAGUCCGAUAGCGAACAAGUACCGUGAGGGAAAGUUGAAAAGUACUUUGAAGAGAGAGUAAACAGUGCGUGAAACCGCUCAGAGGUAAACGGGUGGAGUUGAACUGUGAGCUCUGUGAAUUUAGCUGGUGAGUGUGGUUUGAGCUUGGUCAAAUUGGUUGAUAUUUGGGGUCUGCGAAGCAGCAGGUCCUCACCUUUUGGUGGGGAUGCGCGAUACACUUAUCAAGUGUUGCGCGCCCCGGUUUAUUCGGGCCAACUUGCCAGUGCACUUUCGCAGAGUGGUCACCACGACCGGCAUCGCUGUCUUGCUGUUGCGGUUAAACCGGCUGCACACUGUCCUCGUGACUUUGUGGAGUCGGGAUGGCAGGUAGCUCGUUGGCUGGCUUGUAGCUUGCUGCAGGCAUUCGGUCCUCGGGUGUAAUCAGCUGACCGCAUCGGAUCCUGUGCAGUAUGUCGGAGACGGCGGCUUGUGGUGUGUGCGUGCGUUCCGGUUGACUGGCGUGUCCGAGUUUGGUUGUUAUCUUGCCUGUGUUCACAGGGCUAAUGAUGGCUCGGAUGCGUUCGGUUGGCGGUUGCGUGCGUGUCACUAUUUCCAGGGCCAACAGUCUGUGGUGUUGCGGUAGACUAUCCACCUGACCCGUCUUGAAACACGGACCAAGGAGAGUAACAUGUGCGCGAGUCAUUGGGCGUAACGAAACCCAAAGGCGAAGUGAAAGUAAAGGUCCGGCUUGCCUGGACUGAGGUGAGAUCCUGUCGUUUCUCAUGCGCGUAUCACCAAGUAUUGAGCGACAGGCGCAUCACCGGCCCGUCCCAUGGUGUGGUGACCCUGUGUACAGAGUUUGUCACCGGGGCGGAGCAUGAGCGCACAUGUUGAGACCCGAAAGAUGGUGAACUAUGCUUGCGCAGGUUGAAGCCAGAGGAAACUCUGGUGGAGGACCGCAGCGAUUCUGACGUGCAAAUCGAUCGUCAGACGUGAGUAUAGGGGCGAAAGACUAAUCGAACCAUCUAGUAGCUGGUUCCCUCCGAAGUUUCCCUCAGGAUAGCUGGUGUUCAGAGAUAUAAACAGUUUUAUCCGGUAAAGCGAAUGAUUAGAGGCCUUGGGGGCGAAACGUCCUCAACCUAUUCUCAAACUUUGAAUGGGUGAGAAGCCUGACUCGCCCAAACGGAGUCAGGCGUUGAAUGUGAAUGCCAAGUGGGCCAUUUUUGGUAAGCAGAACUGGCGCUGUGGGAUGAACCAAACGUCCGGUUAAGGUGCCUAACGCGACGCUCAUCAGAUACCACAAAAGGUGUUGGUUGGUCUAGACAGCAGGACGGUGGCCAUGGAAGUCGGAACCCGCUAAGGAGUGUGUAACAACUCACCUGCCGAAUCAACCAGCCCUGAAAAUGGAUGGCGCUGGAGCGUCGGACCUAUACCGGACCGUCACUGCAAGCUGAGUCGAUAAUGUGUGGUGUGAGGGCAAGUCACACGACUCAGGCAUGGAAUGGUGGUGACGAGUAGGAGGGUCGCCGUGGUGAGCGGGAAGCUUCGGGCGUGAGCCUGAGUGGAGCCGCCACGGGCGCAGAUCUUGGUGGUAGUAGCAAAUAUUCAAGUGAGAACCUUGAAGGCCGAGGUGGAGAAGGGUUCCAUGGGAACAGCAGUUGGCCAUGGGUCAGGCGGUCCUAAGUGAUCCGUUAACUCGGAACAGAGACGGGGUGCCUGACAUUGUCAGGAUUGCUGCUGAUGUACUGUUGCAAGGCAGCCCCCUGUAGCGAAAGGGAAUCGGGUUAAUAUUCCCGACCCUGCCCACGGAGAUUGAUACAUUCUGGUCCCGCACCGGUUUGUGUCUAGCGCGGUAACGCAACCGACCUCGGAGACGUCGGCAAGAGUUCUGGGAAGAGUUCUCUUUUCUUUAUUAGGAGCGCAUCAUCCCCUGGAAUCGGGUUGUCCGGAGAUAGGGGACUAGCCUCCGUAAAGCACCACAUUUCUUGUGGUGUCCAGAACGCUCUUGUCGGCCCUUGAAAAUCCGAGCAAGGCAAUAUAAUUUUCGUGGCAGGCCGUACCCAUAUCCGCAUCAGGUCUCCAAGGUGAACAGCCUCUGGCAAUUGAACAAUGUAGGUAAGGGAAGUCGGCAAACUGGAUCCGUAACUUCGGGAAAAGGAUUGGCUCUGAGGGCCGAGUCAAAUGGGCUGUAGUCAGAUACGUGUUGGUCCAGUUGGAGGCUGGUUUUUCUGUUGCUGCGCCUGCUUCGGUGGGUGUGGUUGAUGGGAUUACUGGACUCUGACCAGGCCGAUCGUGGGCGAUUUCAGCUGUAGUGCUGCAUUGCUGGCAGCGUGCAUGGGUAACUGUGUGCGUGUCGACGGCAUUGCUUCCUUCGUUUGGCGCUCAACGGCUAGCUCAGAACUGGCACGGACCAGGGGAAUCCGACUGUCUAAUUAAAACAAAGCAUUGCGAUGUCCGCUGAC